UGAUUGAAGCUUGCUUCAUGAUUCAGAUUUUGGUGAGUGGCGGACGGGUGAGUAACACGUGGGUAACCUGCCCAGAAGUGGGGGAUAACAUUUGGAAACAAGUGCUAAUACCGCAUAACAACUUAGAUCACAUGAUCUUUGUUUAAAAGAUGGUUUUGCUAUCUCUUCUGGAUGGACCCGCGGCGUAUUAGCUAGUUGGUGAGGUAAUAGCUCACCAAGGCGAUGAUACGUAGCCGACCUGAGAGGGUAAUCGGCCACAUUGGGACUGAGACACGGCCCAAACUCCUACGGGAGGCAGCAGUAGGGAAUCUUCCACAAUGGACGAAAGUCUGAUGGAGCAAUGCCGCGUGAGUGAAGAAGGUUUUCGGAUCGUAAAACUCUGUUGUUGAAGAAGAACAUACGUGAGAGUAACUGUUCACGUACUGACGGUAUUCAACCAGAAAGCCACGGCUAACUACGUGCCAGCAGCCGCGGUAAUACGUAGGUGGCAAGCGUUGUCCGGAUUUAUUGGGCGUAAAGAGAAUGUAGGCGGUUUAUUAAGUUUGAAGUGAAAGCCCUCGGCUCAACCGAGGAAGUGCUUCGAAAACUGGUAAACUUGAGUGCAGAAGAGGAAAGUGGAACUCCAUGUGUAGCGGUGGAAUGCGUAGAUAUAUGGAAGAACACCAGUGGCGAAGGCGGCUUUCUGGUCUGUAACUGACGCUGAGAUUCGAAAGCAUGGGUAGCAAACAGGAUUAGAUACCCUGGUAGUCCAUGCCGUAAACGAUGAGUGCUAAGUGUUGGAGGGUUUCCGCCCUUCAGUGCUGCAGCUAACGCAUUAAGCACUCCGCCUGGGGAGUACGAUCGCAAGAUUGAAACUCAAAGGAAUUGACGGGGGCCCGCACAAGCGGUGGAGCAUGUGGUUUAAUUCGAAGCAACGCGAAGAACCUUACCAGGUCUUGACAUACCAUGAAAAGCUUAAAGAUAAGUCUUUCCCUUCGGGGACAUGGAUACAGGUGGUGCAUGGUUGUCGUCAGCUCGUGUCGG
RNAcentral lists this ribosomal RNA (1023 nucleotides) under Companilactobacillus paralimentarius. Its description in RNAcentral is "bacterial SSU rRNA". It matches the Rfam family "Bacterial small subunit ribosomal RNA", at positions 67 to 1068 of the family's 1533-position model. The record is from RNAcentral. Lineage: Bacteria; Bacillati; Bacillota; Bacilli; Lactobacillales; Lactobacillaceae.